Molecule: ribosomal RNA, 177 nt
Filed under: Metarhizium brittlebankisoides
Lineage: Eukaryota; Fungi; Ascomycota; Sordariomycetes; Hypocreales; Clavicipitaceae
Description: 5.8S ribosomal RNA
Rfam family: 5.8S ribosomal RNA (bases 13-166)
About the family: 5.8S ribosomal RNA (5.8S rRNA) is a component of the large subunit of the eukaryotic ribosome. It is transcribed by RNA polymerase I as part of the 45S precursor that also contains 18S and 28S rRNA.
Source: RNAcentral
AAAUGAAUCAAAAACUUUCAACAACGGAUCUCUUGGUUCUGGCAUCGAUGAAGAACGCAGCGAAAUGCGAUAAGUAAUGUGAAUUGCAGAAUUCAGUGAAUCAUCGAAUCUUUGAACGCACAUUGCGCCCGCCAGUAUUCUGGCGGGCAUGCCUGUUCGAGCGUCAUUUCAACCCUC